GACGAACGCUGGCGGCGUGCUUAACACAUGCAAGUCGAACGGAAAGGCCUCUUUCGGGGGGUACUCGAGUGGCGAACGGGUGAGUAACACGUGAGUAACCUGCCCUUGACUUUGGGAUAACUUCAGGAAACUGGGGCUAAUACCGGAUAGGAGCUCCUGCUGCAUGGUGGGGGUUGGAAAGUUUCGGCGGUUGGGGAUGGACUCGCGGCUUAUCAGCUUGUUGGUGGGGUAGUGGCUUACCAAGGCUUUGACGGGUAGCCGGCCUGAGAGGGUGACCGGCCACAUUGGGACUGUGAUACGGCCCAGACUCCUACGGGAGGCAGCAGUGGGGAAUAUUGCACAAUGGGUGGAAGCCUGAUGCAGCAACGCCGUGUGCGGGAUGACGGCCUUCGGGUUGUAAACCGCUUUCGCUCAUGACGAAGCUUUGUGUGACGGUAGUGGGUAAAGAAGCACCGGCUAACUACGUG
This 467-nucleotide ribosomal RNA is filed under the name uncultured bacterium. RNAcentral's name for it is "partial 16S ribosomal RNA". It matches the Rfam family "Bacterial small subunit ribosomal RNA", at positions 28 to 507 of the family's 1533-position model. The record is from RNAcentral.